AUACAGUUAGUGAAUCAAAUUUCCAAUAAUAUAUCCACGUGUACAUAAUGACAUUACAUUUUUCUUUUUCCAGAGCCAUGUACAGCAUCCCCAGAAGAGAUGGAGAAAAACAAUAUUAUGCUGAAAUGGAAGAACAACAGUAAAUUGUAUUCAGAAAGUGGAGAUGUUAUUGAAUUUGGCUGUAAAUGGGGAUAUGAGAAGGAUCCAACAUCUGUAUUUAGAGUACAGUGUGUGGAGGGGAAAUUAGCAUAUCCUAAAUGUAAGAGAAGCGCGUGGUGAGCUGCAGGUGAGU
Molecule: long non-coding RNA, 292 nt
Filed under: Chelydra serpentina (North American snapping turtle)
Lineage: Eukaryota; Metazoa; Chordata; Testudines; Chelydridae
Description: lncRNA (ENSCSRG00000014180.1)
Source: RNAcentral